This is a non-coding RNA of Acanthosepion pharaonis, 105 nucleotides long. The record is from the annotation of a GenBank genome assembly. NCBI's taxonomy places the organism in Eukaryota, Metazoa, Mollusca, Cephalopoda, Sepiida, Sepiidae.
UACGACUACAUCACAUUGAAACACCGGUUCCCGUACGAUCACCGAAGUUAAACAACGUCGAACCUGGUCAGUAAUGAGUUGAGUGACCCCUUGGGAAGGUGCUGU